RNAcentral lists this ribosomal RNA (466 nucleotides) under uncultured bacterium. Its description in RNAcentral is "partial 16S ribosomal RNA". It matches the Rfam family "Bacterial small subunit ribosomal RNA", at positions 28 to 507 of the family's 1533-position model. The record is from RNAcentral.
GAUGAACGCUGGCGGCGUGCUUAACACAUGCAAGUCGAACGAUGAAGCCCAGCUUGCUGGGUGGAUUAGUGGCGAACGGGUGAGUAACACGUGAGUAACCUGCCCUUAACUCUGGGAUAAGCCUGGGAAACUGGGUCUAAUACCGUAUAGGAGCGUCCACCGCAUGGUGGGUGUUGGAAAGAUUUAUCGGUUUUGGAUGGACUCGCGGCCUAUCAGCUUGUUGGUGAGGUAAUGGCUCACCAAGGCGACGACGGGUAGCCGGCCUGAGAGGGUGACCGGCCACACUGGGACUGAGACACGGCACAGACUCCUACGGGAGGCAGCAGUGGGGAAUAUUGCACAAUGGGCGCAAGCCUGAUGCAGCGACGCCGCGUGAGGGAUGACGGCCUUCGGGUUGUAAACCUCUUUCAGUAGGGAAGAAGCGAAAGUGACGGUACCUGCAGAAGAAGCACCGGCUAACUACGUG